This 1324-nucleotide long non-coding RNA is filed under the name Cyanistes caeruleus (blue tit). RNAcentral's name for it is "lncRNA (ENSCCEG00000008466.1)". Lineage: Eukaryota; Metazoa; Chordata; Aves; Passeriformes; Paridae. The record is from RNAcentral.
AUGAUUCCUAAAACCAGGGACAGCCAGCAGCUCCCACUGCCUCUGUCCAACCUGGAACAGCAAUCCUGCCAAAACCAUUUGGUAAUUCCUGACUGGAGGGCUGCUCCAACCUUCUCUCCCAGAGACUUGGUGGCUGGAGGAGCCUGGGGAGGGAAUCCAGGGCCCCACCUGGGCACAGGUGGAGAAGGAAGGUGGGUGGAGAAUGAAGUCAAACCAGGGAAGAAAAGUGUAUGUGUGUUUUCUAUUUAUUUUUUUUUUCCUCCCCUACCCAGCUCUAUUACAGUUGUCAAUAAAUUAAAUCAAGGUGACUGCUUUUCCCCCUGAGGACAAUUGGGGAGUGAUGUCCCCCUCUGUGUCUGAUCCCUGGUGGGCACCAGGACAGCAGCCAGGUCCCACUGGUGACACCUGCCCCUGUGCACAGAGCAGCUCUGCUGGGCUCCCAAAGCAGCAGUGUUUAAGAGCAAAGGAUGAACAGAAAGCUGUGCCUCAGCAAUAACCACAGCCACGCUGCUGAGCCUCAGGCUCAUCUCCCUGGAGCUGCUGCUCCUGGAGAAACUGCAGUGCUCUUCCCUGGGAGGAGGUGACAGGACCAGCAAGGUGUGCUGGGACAGGUGUGCUACAGGAUAUUUGCUUCACCUCUUCUCUGUUUCUGCUUCAACACUCACAUUUUUGGUGUCUGCUUUCAAUCAGCACUUAAUCCCAUCAAUUUCUUCUCCCUAGUGGCCAUUCCAUGAGCUUUCCAGAAGCUGGAUCUGUGAGCCACAGUCCUUCUCACUGUGCAGUCCCGACUCUUCCACUCUGAGAAAGAAUGCAAUGAGACUUGACUUUCCUCCAGUAUUUCUACAGUUUUCAGUUUCUGGUCUUCAGGAAUUCUAUGAGUUCCUUUUGGAACAAAUGAAAUAAUGCUAACACAGGAUAAAUUUGCACCUGUGCACAGGGAGAUUAUUCUUCAUGUGCCCAGAACAUGCAAUUGCAGAACUGGAGUCUCUGUUUAACGCUGCUAACUCACCUGUGAUUAGAACUUCAUCCAUACCAUUGCUGGUUUCACUUUUUUAAGAGGCUUCUCCUCUCUUUUGGGCUGGGAUCUGUGGAAUGUGCAGUCAGCAGCUGGACACAAACCCUGCAGCAGUGCAGCAGAUGUUGCACAGCUGGACCUGCUCAGCCUGGGGGGACAGGGCAGCUGCAGCACCUUGGCAGGAGCUGCUCUUUCCAUGCUCAGAAAAAAAAAUGCACCAGGCAUGCAAAAUGUGUUGGACAGAAGUUACCUAUUAAGAAUGUGGGGGGUCCUACAGAUUCUGGGGUUUCCUAUAGAGUUGAGUUGGUU